Molecule: ribosomal RNA, 497 nt
Filed under: uncultured bacterium
Lineage: Bacteria
Description: partial 16S ribosomal RNA
Rfam family: Bacterial small subunit ribosomal RNA
Source: RNAcentral
GAUGAACGCUGGCGGCGUGCCUAAUACAUGCAAGUCGAGCGAACGGACGAGAAGCUUGCUUCUCUGAUGUUAGCGGCGGACGGGUGAGUAACACGUGGAUAACCUACCUAUAAGACUGGGAUAACUUCGGGAAACCGGAGCUAAUACCGGAUAAUAUUUUGAACCGCAUGGUUCAAAAGUGAAAGACGGUCUUGCUGCCACUUAUUGAUGGAUCCGCGCUGCAUUAGCUAGUUGGUAAGGUAACGGCUUACCAAGGCAACGAUGCAUAGCCGACCUGAGAGGGUGAUCGGCCACACUGGAACUGAGACACGGUCCAGACUCCUACGGGAGGCAGCAGUAGGGAAUCUUCCGCAAUGGGCGAAAGCCUGACGGAGCAACGCCGCGUGAGUGAUGAAGGUCUUCGGAUCGUAAAACUCUGUUAUUAGGGAAGAACAUAUGUGUAAGUAACUGUGCACAUCUUGACGGUACCUAAUCAGAAAGCCACGGCUAACUACGUG